This 1055-nucleotide long non-coding RNA is filed under the name Dromaius novaehollandiae (emu). RNAcentral describes it as "lncRNA (ENSDNVG00000011398.1)". Lineage: Eukaryota; Metazoa; Chordata; Aves; Casuariiformes; Dromaiidae. The record is from RNAcentral.
AUGCUUCUGUCUCUGGUGCCAACUCCUCUUAACAACUCUGCUGCCGAAGGAAAACAGACUUCUAAGCUGCUGGAAGAUUUAGCAAACUUGUACCUGGAUUACAGCCUUCAUCUCUCUCCCCAGGCCUCUUGGAAAAGAUGCAACCUUCAAAAGACUAGCAGUUUAUUAAACAGAAUCCAAAAGCCACGUGAAUGCUUGUGCCAGCAAGAGGAAGGAUCAGAGCACACUUCUGUGGGUGGAUGAAAAGGUGAAUGAGGGUGACCACUCCAUUCAGUAACUGCAUGGGCACAGAGAAGCAUGAACCAUCCUUAUGUUCUUCCCUAGGCAUCUGCUAGCAGCUGGUGCCAAAGAUAGGAUCUGAUGCUAAUUGGGACUUUCUUCUGUCCCAAACACUGCUGGGCUUAUGGCUCCACUGAAGAUGAUGUGACUGUUACCAUAGACAUAACCAAGGCCAGGAAGAAGAGCAGUAUCAUGAAUGCACAAAUAACUGUUUCUGUUCUCACCAACUGAUGGAGGAAUUUUUCCUCUAGAUGUUCCACCCAAUUACCUGGGAGGUUUAAGGAGUGCAGAGCUAAGCCAUUGUUGCUCAGCUGGCUUUGCCUCUUUAAGACUGUUCCUUGACAGCCUGAAUUUUCUGUUGCUCCCUGUUUGAUCCAGCUUGGACUCCAAGAAAGCUGGGAACUCAUCUUUCCCUGUUUGAACUGUAUGUGAUCAAUUACAGACCUCGAGAAUGGGCUGCUUGCCUAUCUCUCAUGUUUAAAUUGCCUUCCAGGAUUUUGCAAGGCUAAGGAGCCUCCUCAGAUGUUGAGUCUGACUGUGCUUCGGUCAAGCAUGCCUUGGUUUUGCUGAGAGUGGCAUCUGAUUCAUAGUGAACUUUGAGAACAAAUUGAGAGUGGCAUCUGAUUCAUAGUGAACUUUGAGAACAAAUUAAACAGAGUGCUUUGUACAUGGAUUUGCUGGCCCUGACCCUUCUGCUGCUGCUUGAGGAGAAGACUAUUGAUUUUAGCAACAGAAGAAGUGGGACUAAACAGUGUAACUGGAUGGGGAGGGAUGCU